CAACACCCUAUGUUUUUCUAGGAUAUCCAGUCAAUUGUGAUGGAUACAUAUGCAUGGAUAUGAGGGAUGGGAAGACACUAAUUUCCAGAGAUGUGAUCUUUGAAGAAAAUAAAUUUCAGUCAAAGAAAACAGUUAUUUCUCAAUCUCCAACACAUUCAGUUCAGGCAGAGGAGAGUGAAUCAGAUGAGGGUGAAGAAGAGGCUGAACAGAGCAGAAUAAAUGACAAUUCAGAACAAGCAG
This 240-nucleotide long non-coding RNA is filed under the name Zostera marina. RNAcentral's name for it is "long non-coding RNA (ZMAR_LNC004181)". Lineage: Eukaryota; Viridiplantae; Streptophyta; Magnoliopsida; Alismatales; Zosteraceae. The record is from RNAcentral.